GUUAAGUAGGGUCUGGCCUGGAAUACUCUUCUAGAUGAAAAUAGCCCAACCAUGAGCCACCUUCUCAGCAGAUGAGAUGAAAUUAAAGCUCUUCACCUCCUCAAGGCCCAGAGACUAUCACAAAAGAGGUGGGCAUGUGAGAUUGUAAGAACUGAUUUUGAGAGAUAAAAUAAGUUCAGUUUUUCUAUAAAUUAAUCAUUAAUGUCAAAGGCACACUAAUGCAAGACCAGAAUAGGGGCCCCAGUGUUAGAUUAACAAGGUUUUCUUGAAGCAUUAACUGACUCCUUAAUAAAGGCUUAUAUAAGUUAUAUCUUAUGGUCAAGAUUAGAAUUUUAUAGAUUAUUCAUAACAUUUUGAAAAACAAAUUUAAUUGGCUUUAUGCUGUUUUAUUGGAGAUUAUUGUUUGGAAAAUUAAGUCUUCUCUCCCAAAGAAUGAAGGUUUUUUUCUUUUUUUGUUUUUGAAAUCUUUAUUAAUUUGGUCAAAUUAAUGACUUAUUUUACAAUGACCUGUGACAUCAAGUGUUUUAAACCUUUGAUAUUUGACUGACAUUCUUUCUGUGGAACAAAGUUCCAUCAAACUAUCCAAAAUCAAAUUAUAAAUUAUGUAUUUUUCUUACCCAAUCCUUUAAAAUAUUAUGUUCCCUAAAGUUUAAAAAUGACAUAAUUUUGCUUAUUUCUUAUAAAAAUUAUACAGAGAGCGUUGUUGAAUAUGAAAUGGUGUUUGGUUUUUUUUGGGGCUGUGUUUGUAUAAAUAUAUUAUUGGUAUUUGUUCCAAAAUUAUGGGAAACUCCUAUAAUUCUUAUAUGACUUAGUGUACAUUAUUAGCGGUAAUUAUAAUUGUUAUGUUAAAUUAUUGCCACAGAGGUAACAAAUUUCCUUGUCAAUUGUGUCUUUGACUUUGGUUGCCUUAAAACUUUUUGUCAUUCACAGACAAUUGUUGUAUUGUUUUGGUCCUCUUUAGAAGGUAGUUUUAUAAUCAGCUAUAAAACUCUAACAGGUGGUCUUGAAUGCAAGUUUCUGAUAACUUUGGAGAUUGUGACAUCAGAGUAGAGGAAAAAAAUUCAGAACUCAUGGAGAGUUGAAAUGUUCAUGAAUAUUAAACAGAACAAGGAUUAAGUGCAUGCAUUGAACUAUUAGAAGACUGAAGUAAUCUUUUUUUCUUUUUUUGAGUCGAGGUCUCACUCGGUCCCCCAGGCUGGAGUCCAGUGGUGUGAUCUCAGAUGAAUUACAGAUGCACGCCACCAAGCCUGGCUAAUUUUUGUAUUUUUAGUGGAGACGGGGUUUCACCAUGUUGGUCAGGCUGGUCUUGAACUCCUGACCUCGUGAUCUGCCUGCCUCGGCCUCCCAAAGUGUUGGGAUUACAGGUGUGAGCCACCACGACCAGCCGAUCUUUUUGACUUUUUACUUAAAAUGUUGCUGAUCCUUUCUUUUGUUUUCUGAGUCAAGGAAACCUACCUUUUGAUCUAUUUACAGCUUUUAACAAGUUAGUAUACUCCUGUGAACAAAAUUUAAAGCAUGUUUAAUUCUCUCUACUUGAUUUCUCUAGAAUUUGGAAACUAUUUGUGAGUAUUUUUAACUUAUGGCAAUACAUUUAUUUGCAUAAGUGCAAUAGGAAUCUGUUUUUUGUUUGUUUUGUUAUUUAUUUAUUUUUUGAGACAGAGUCUCACUCUGUUGCCAGGCUAGAGUGUGGUGGCACAAUCUUGGCUCACUGUAACCUCUGCCUCCUGGGUUCAGGCAGUCCUCCUGCCUUGGCCUCCCAAGUAGCUGGGACUACAGGUGAGCACCACCAUGCCCAGCUAAUUUUUUAUAUUUUUAAUAGAGAUAGGGUUUCACCAUGUUGGCCACUAUGGUCUUAAUCUCUUGACCUCAUGAUUCACCCAUCUUGACCUCCCAAAGUGCUGUGAUUAAAGGCAUGAGCCACCACGCCCUGCCAAGAAUCUGGUUUUUAUAAGUAACAGGACACAACUGGAGAAACUGGUUAUUUUACCAAUACUUUGACUGGAAUGGUGUUCUUUUUUUAAGGAAUCAAACUUGAUUUAUGGAGCCAAUUAAAAGCCCCUUGGGAAAACUGGAUUCAAAUCUUGUCUACAUGGUCCCUGUACUAUGACAUUUUUACUUACCACAGGUCAGAAAUCCUGAAGAUCACUUUCUGACAAACUCAGGAGCUCCAGGUUUAUCUUGGAACCUCAAGAGGAGAGAAAUUCACCCAACUCAGGUAUUUGAUGGUACAAAUCCAUGGCUGGGGUUGGCUUUUAAAAAGUCUUAUCUGAGAUUCCUUCUAUGGAACAAAGUUCCAUCAGGGCCAAACAUCAGGGAAUUUAUAUUGAAGAAAAAUUGUGCAAAUGUAAUAAAUUUGGAAAAACACUUUUUCAAAAACUACAGCUUAGAAAACAACAGAGAGUUCAUACUGGAGUAUAUUUUUGCAGAUGCAGUAAAUGUAAAAAAAUAUUUAAUCCAUAAUUAAGUCUAUGCAAAUAUCAGAAUUUAUGGUAGAAAUAUAUAAGGCACUGACACACUUCACGUAUUCUAAAUCAGAGUGCUGAGUAUAGGAAAUCUAAAACUAAAGUUGGCAGAAAAAUUAUUUGCAUGUAACUUUCAGAGGAUCAGAAGGUUUUUUGCGGAGUUAUAAUUACAUUCAAAGUACAUUGCUUGAAAAAUAAUACAGAUUUUUUGAAAAGUGAAUAAUGAUGUCAUUCAACUCUGAAAUUAUUUCCUGCUGUUUCUUCAUUCCGAUUGGAGUCACAUGUGAAAGCACGGGAUCAAUUGUUGCUGUGUCAAAGAUGUGAGAGAUUCUUUUUGUUUUGAAAGUAAAGACAUUAAAAUGUAAGAUGCAUAAUAAAAAUCUAAGUGGAGAAGCUCUUAUAACCUAUAAUAUUGAGUGAUGCAUGAGGUAGGUGUUCAAAGUAAUCUGCAUUAUCAUGAGAAGAAAACAUGUUUAAUUUUAUUUAAACAAAAUUUAAAGCAUAUUUAAUUCUCUCUACUUGAUUUCUCUAGAAUUUUGAAACUAUUUGUUUCCAAAUUUAAAAUUAAAUGAGUAGUAUAUUAUUGUAGUAAUUGUACUUUUUUUUUUGAGAUGGAGUUUUGCUCUUGGUGCCCAGGCUGGAGUGCAUUGGCACGACCUCUGGCUCACUAUGACCUCUGCCUCCCAGGUUCAAGCGAUUCUCCUGCCUCAGCCUCCUGAGUAGCUGGGAUUACAGGCAUGAGCCACCACGCCUGGCUAAUUUUGAAUUUUUAGUAGAAACAGGGUUUCUCCAUGUUGGUAAGGCUGGUCUCAAACUGCUGACCUCAGGUGAUCUGCCCACUUUGGCCUCCCAAAGUGCUGGGAUUACAGGCUUGAGCCACUGAGCCUGGCCUGAUUGUACUUUUAUAUAAUAAAAUGCAAUAAUAAAUUUUAGAUUAUGUGUGAAGUUAAUAGUUUAAUUCAACAUUUUUAACAUGUUAAAUACUAUUGUGCAUUCAAUGAAGUGUUAUUAUGCCACAAACUUUAACCUCUUUCACCUUACUCAAGGGUAUAGGUGAAAGAUGGUAACAAUAUACUGUUUAGUAAGAUAAUAGAUUAACAUCUCUAGUGAUUUUUUUUUUUUGCCAGUGGCUUUCAACUGCAAAUAAGUUAAAGAAUAUUGUUUCUGUAGGUUAAAUUUUUAUUCUGUUUUUAAUCAUUAAAUUUAUUUUAAUUUUGGUGGCUGCAUGAGUAUCUAUUUAUGCAAUAUAUGGCAUAUUUUAAUACAGGAAUACAAUAUAUAAUAAUAUCAGCAUUAAGUGGGCAUCCUUCGCCUGUAGCAUUUAUCCUAUGUUUUACAAUCCAAUUCUACACUUUUUUAAAAAAAUUUAAAAAUGUACAAUUAAAUUGUUAUUUACUACAGGGUUAUUUUUAUGGUCCUAAUAAAAAUUAUAUGAGUAUAAAUAAAAUUCAUUGUUAAAUUCUUAAUAUUUUUUCAAAUUUCUAUUUUUCUUUGAACACGUGGCCAAUCUGCCUGCAAACACGUACAGACUUUUAGUUUUGAUAUACAUAGAGUUAAAUAUUUAUUAAUCUAAAGACAAACCUUAGGUGAAGAAAAUUAUGGAGUAAGUGUGUCAGGAGUUUGAGACCAGCCAGACCAACGUGGAUUAACCCCGUCUCUACUAAAAACACAAAAUUAGCCGGGCGUGGUGGCAUAUGCCUGUAAUCCCAGCUACUCAGGAGGCUGAGCCAGGAGAAUUGCUUGAGUAUGGGAGGUGGGGGCGGAGGUUGCAGUGAGCCGAGAUUAUGCCAUUGCACUCCAGCCUGGGCAGCAACAGUGAAACUCUGUCUCAAAAAAAAAAA
RNAcentral lists this small RNA (4303 nucleotides) under Pongo abelii (Sumatran orangutan). RNAcentral's name for it is "retained intron". Lineage: Eukaryota; Metazoa; Chordata; Mammalia; Primates; Hominidae. The record is from RNAcentral.